Molecule: ribosomal RNA, 83 nt
Filed under: Fontibacillus phaseoli
Lineage: Bacteria; Bacillati; Bacillota; Bacilli; Caryophanales; Paenibacillaceae
Description: partial 16S ribosomal RNA
Rfam family: Bacterial small subunit ribosomal RNA
Source: RNAcentral
CCGCCGAAGGUGGGGUAGAUGAUUGGGGUGAAGUCGUAACAAGGUAGCCGUAUCGGAAGGUGCGGCUGGAUCACCUCCUUUCU